This is a long non-coding RNA of Sphaeramia orbicularis (orbiculate cardinalfish), 212 nucleotides long. RefSeq lists it as uncharacterized. Lineage: Eukaryota; Metazoa; Chordata; Actinopteri; Kurtiformes; Apogonidae. The record is from RefSeq and is a predicted model, not a curated record. The transcript has 4 exons.
CUUUCAAAAAGUAAUUAAAGUCUUUCACCUCUGACUCACUCAGUCUGUACUGAGCAAAAAACAGAAUAGACUAAAGGGGAAAACAGUAAAUAUGCUAUUAUUUCCUUAACAAAAACUUAUGAAUGAGGAAAGUGUCAAUGUUGGAUGCUUUUGUUGAAGUGUUACAUGUUCAGUAUUUCUAUGUUUCAUAUUAAUGUGUUCAUGUAAUGUGA